Molecule: transfer RNA, 72 nt
Filed under: Sphaerobolus stellatus SS14
Lineage: Eukaryota; Fungi; Basidiomycota; Agaricomycetes; Geastrales; Sphaerobolaceae
Description: tRNA-Arg (ACG) (tRNA-Arg-ACG-2-1)
Rfam family: tRNA
About the family: Transfer RNA (tRNA) molecules are approximately 80 nucleotides in length. Their secondary structure includes four short double-helical elements and three loops (D, anti-codon, and T loops). Further hydrogen bonds mediate the characteristic L-shaped molecular structure. tRNAs have two regions of fundamental functional importance: the anti-codon, which is responsible for specific mRNA codon recognition, and the 3' end, to which the tRNAs corresponding amino acid is attached (by aminoacyl-tRNA synthetases). tRNAs cope with the degeneracy of the genetic code in two manners: having more than one tRNA (with a specific anti-codon) for a particular amino acid; and 'wobble' base-pairing, i.e. permitting non-standard base-pairing at the 3rd anti-codon position.
Source: RNAcentral
GGCCGCCUGGCGUAAUGGCAGCGCGUCUGACUACGAAUCAGGAGGUUGCAGGUUCGAUCCCUGCGGUGGUCA